AUGUAAAGAACUUUUUUAUUAGUUUUAUUUUUUUAUUGAUGUUUUGGUCAGACAAAUAAAAAACAAUAACUGUUACAUUAUUACAGUUACAUCAAUAGGAGUUACAUUGUUUUGGGUUUUUUUUCAGUACCUGCCCAGUCUUUUUUUUUCACAAACAAAAAAAAAUUAACUUUAAAAUAAAAUAAAAAGGAGUUUGCAGUCCAGCAACAACGUACAACUCAAGCUAGACCUCCAACACAAAACAUAGAUCCACAAAACAAAAAACAAAGCAAAAACACAACACCUUAGGAAGUCUACAUAGUAUACACAUCCUGUACCUGAACCAAAUCGUAAAGAACAUUUUUGAUUAGUUAUUAUUAAUUUAAUUAUUAAAACAUUUUCAUUGUUUUAUUUUGUUCAAAUGAAGAAAAUGUGUGUGUGUGUGUGUGUGUGUGUGUGUGUGUGUGUGUGUGUGUGUGUGUGUGUGUGUGUGUGUGUGUGUGUUUAAAUGUCGAAACCUUGAUCAAGAAACUUUAAAACAUUUAGAUUUAAAUGUAAAUACUGAUAAUCACAAAAUUAGCAGUGCACUAUGAAUUAAAGAUCCUGUCUUUUACAUUAUGUAGGAGCGUGAACAUGAAUGAGGUUAUUUUCGUUUCAAAUUUAGAAGUUCUCUUUUUUCAAGACCAACUAGGUUAUGGAAGAAAAGCGCCAGUAAAUAAUUAAUGAAUGUAUUCAUCAAAAUUUGAGCCUGUCCUCCCAGGAAAAACUAUGCUCAUUAUGUCAGUUGCCAAAAAUGACCAAUAGUUACAUUUGAGUGACAGACACCAUCUAGUGGUCAUAGUAAUUAUGACCCAGAGAAGCAGCACAGUUUAGAUGAAAUCCAAAUUUCCAAAUUCAAAUUCAGAGGUGAAGACCCCAGGAAGUGAAAGAGUAGAGGCUGAGAUAGUAUGGGUUAAGCUCCAAAAACAGUAGAACCUGCCUCCUAAACACCCGAAUCUUUCAAACCACAUGACUAAAGUUUGCUUUCUGUUAAACAAUAUAGAUCUCAAGCCCAAGCUGAUCACAUCAUCAGGAUUGUUUUAUCAAAUCAAUGUUUGGAAACCUCCCCCAGAGCCACAGAAGACAUCAUACAACUUUGACAUGGUUUGAGUUUUUCUAUUUAAGAGACAUUGUCUUAGUUCAUGUCCAUAACAAGUAAUGACAAAAAAAUGAAAUAAGGAAAUAUAUGAUCUGUUUAUUUAUUCAUUUGAAAUGUAGUUUGUAGAUGCAUUUUAUUUUGAAUACAUUUCAGCAGCUCUUGGUCAUGCAUUUAAACAAAAACUUAAUUGCUCUGAGAAUCCAGUAAGGGAGCACAUCUGCUUCUCUCAAAAGAAAAUACAAUCAGACUCCAUUAUUACC
Scomber scombrus (Atlantic mackerel) is the source of this 1377-nucleotide long non-coding RNA. RefSeq lists it as uncharacterized. The record is from RefSeq and is a predicted model, not a curated record. The transcript is spliced from 2 exons. NCBI's taxonomy places the organism in Eukaryota, Metazoa, Chordata, Actinopteri, Scombriformes, Scombridae.